GACGAACGCUGGCGGCGUGCUUAACACAUGCAAGUCGAACGGAAGGGCCCUGCUUUUGUGGGGUGCUCGAGUGGCGAACGGGUGAGUAACACGUGAGUAACCUGCCCUUGACUUUGGGAUAACUUCAGGAAACUGGGGCUAAUACCGGAUAGGAGCUCCUGCUGCAUGGUGGGGGUUGGAAAGUUUCGGCGGUUGGGGAUGGACUCGCGGCUUAUCAGCUUGUUGGUGGGGUAGUGGCUUACCAAGGCUUUGACGGGUAGCCGGCCUGAGAGGGUGACCGGUCACAUUGGGACUGAGAGACGGCCCAGACUCCUACGGGAGGCAGCAGUGGGGAAUAUUGCACAAUGGGCGGAAGCCUGAUGCAGCAACGCCGCGUGCGGGAUGACGGCCUUCGGGUUGUAAACCGCUUUCGCCUGUGACGAAGCGUGAGUGACGGUAAUGGGUAAAGAAGCACCGGCUAACUACGUG
RNAcentral lists this ribosomal RNA (468 nucleotides) under uncultured bacterium. Its description in RNAcentral is "partial 16S ribosomal RNA". It matches the Rfam family "Bacterial small subunit ribosomal RNA", at positions 28 to 507 of the family's 1533-position model. The record is from RNAcentral.